Long non-coding RNA from Marmota monax (woodchuck), 1811 nucleotides. RefSeq lists it as uncharacterized. The record is from RefSeq and is a predicted model, not a curated record. The transcript is spliced from 3 exons. Lineage: Eukaryota; Metazoa; Chordata; Mammalia; Rodentia; Sciuridae.
AAUAGAUUUCUUGAGUUUACCAAGAACAUUUCAUAAAAACUUUAGACGUCCUAUUUUUCCAUCUUAUCAAGUUAGACUUCUGGUCUACUAGAUAUAUUUUAUGAUUAUUAUUAUUCAACAAAUUUCUAUUAAGCUAUUGUGUAUGGGGCUGCGUAUCCUGAAUGAAAAAAAAAAAGAUGAGGAAAACAUGGAGCACAUUCAUAAAACAGAUAUAUGAAAAACUGUGGUAUAUAUGUGUAAUAAGAAUUGUAAUGCAAAAAAAAGUACAUGUAUAAAGUCAUGAAUUGGCGUGAACAUACUCUAUAUACAAAGAGAUGAAAAAAUUGUACUCUAUGUGUAAUAAGAAUUGUAAUGCAUUCCACUGUCAUGUAUUUAAAAAAUAUAAAAAAUCAUUAAAUUAGAAGAGACAUAGACACACAAAAAUAACUGUAAUACCUGGCAGGGAAUGUUAUAUCUGUUUCUGUCCUUGACUUGUUUCUCUUUACUAGUUUGAACUUCCCCACCUGAGUUAUUGUAAAUGCUUCCUAGGAGAGGUCUCUUCUGCUCCUCACACAAUUAUUUCCUAUUCCCAGGAUAAAUUAUCCCUCCUUUCAUCUACCAUGGGGGCACAGCUGAGAUGUCCAGCCAAGCAGGGCUCGGUGUAGGGGACUGUGACUUCCUGUGGCCUGUGAACAUAUUUAAGCCCCACAUGUUUCCUUCUGGCAAUUGUGUGCCCUGGCAUUCGACCUUCCCUCCACCUCUGGGCAGAACAGACACAACUGGGUCCUUCGUGAUCUACAGUUUGUUAUUAAGAGCUGAUUCUGAAAAUAGAAGUAAAACCAGGACUGGGAGAUAAUAUAUGUUUCCCUAAUUUUUCUCCUUCUUGAUCUUUAUAGCACUGAAGUGGAAAAAAAAAUGACAACUGAUAGUGCCUUUGAAUGAGACUCCCAAGAGUUGACUCACUGAAUCCUUCAGGACAGAGUCAAAGGCAAGCAAGCCUUCUGCACCACUUUCUGUUGCAUGACAAAUUAUUACCUACACAUACGUAAUAAAUGCCAAGAAAAGUCCAGUAUCUCAAGAUCUGAAACAAAGUACAGCUACAAUUGCUUUGUGAAGGAUGGACUUAAAGAAAAAAAAAAACAAUAUAGAAGAAAGCCAUUAAUUCCAGGAUGAACAUGUGACUACUUAGAAAAGGAGAUUGAGAGAGCUAGAAAUCAAGCCAGUCCAAGGAUGCUAUAUUCCAUGGUUUUUCAGGAGAUGGGUUUUGCUCCCGAGGCUACAUCAUGAGAAAAAAAAGGAAAGUGAACGUGGCCACAUGAAGACCCUCUGGAAGGAAGAACCCAUCCACUACAUACCCCUUUGGCCCCAGGAAGGCAAAGCAAAAAAAUGCUCACCAUGGAUGCACAAGAGGAUGACUGGGUUACAGAAGAAGACAAUGAGAUUGUUGAUUCACUGCUUUUAUAGAAAGCAGAAGCAAGAUGCUCUUGUCUGGAGAAAGAUGUAGACUCAUCCCUUGAAGUCACCCCUUGCAAACACAUGGACCAUGUAAAGCAUAGUCAAGUAUUCUUGGCAUACCCAGCAAGAGCUUGUAUGUGUAGGUGUGGGGGAGGUGGGCACUGCCAUGGAUCGUCUUGCCUAACAAUAUAAAAACUAGGCAAGAAGGAUGAAGACUGAAUAGAAGAAUGAAACAAAAAUACAAAUAAUUUUGUUCAUGUGGUAAAAUUUUCUUAACCCUUUGUCUUUGUCUCUGUUUUCUGUUGCUAUAACAAAAUAGUGGUGGCUGGGUACUUUAUAAAGAUAAGAGAAUUAUUUAACUCACAGUUUUGGAGGCU